AUUUAAAACUUUCAACAACGGAUCUCUUGGUUCCGGCAUCGAUGAAGAACGCAGCGAAAUGCGAUACGUAAUGUGAAUUGCAAAUUCAGUGAAUCAUCGAGUCUUUGAACGCACAUUGCGCCCCCUGGUAUUCCGGGGGGCAUGCCUGUCCGAGCGUC
Molecule: ribosomal RNA, 158 nt
Filed under: Penicillium sp. SS7
Lineage: Eukaryota; Fungi; Ascomycota; Eurotiomycetes; Eurotiales; Aspergillaceae
Description: 5.8S ribosomal RNA
Rfam family: 5.8S ribosomal RNA
About the family: 5.8S ribosomal RNA (5.8S rRNA) is a component of the large subunit of the eukaryotic ribosome.
Source: RNAcentral